Alligator sinensis (Chinese alligator) is the source of this 628-nucleotide long non-coding RNA. RefSeq lists it as uncharacterized. The transcript has 4 exons. The record is from RefSeq and is a predicted model, not a curated record. Lineage: Eukaryota; Metazoa; Chordata; Crocodylia; Alligatoridae.
UUUAGCCUCUCAGUUUUCCCAGGUGUGCUAUGUUUACUGAGUACCUCUUAACUUAUCCAUUUUUCAUUUCAUUUUUAUUUUUUCCAUUUAUGUUUGCUGUCAUGCUUCUAAGCCUCUCUGAUUAUGGUGAGAAGAGGACUUUCAAUGGUGUGGUACAGUGGCUGUGAUUACUGUGCUACCAAGAAAGUGGAGAAAGAUUUCAAGUUUAUGACACUUGGUGAAAAUUAAUAGCCUGCCUGCCUCCCUGCCUGAGGUGUGCAGGGGCCCAGUGCUUCCCUGUGUAGCUGUGCGGGGGCGGUGCUUCCCUCCGCAGUUCCAGCACCCCCCAGGACCACCUGAGCCAAGCACCAGCAGGCAGGUGCUACCUGGGUAGCCCCCACGCAGCUCAGGGACCACUUGGCCUGCUGACAGCUGUAUCCCCCGCACGUGCUGCCAAAGAGGCAGUGGGGGCCCAAAACUGGAAACAGUACUCCAGAUGUGACCUCAAAAGUGCCAAAUAGAGGGAAAGAAUCACUUCCUUCAGUCUGCUGACAACACUCCUACUAAUGCAGGUCAGUAUGCCAUCAGCCUUAUUCACAACAAGGGCACACUGUUGGCUCAUAUUAAGCUUAUCGUCCACUGUAACCCC